GGGGUAACUACAGCGGCUAACGACUGAGCUUCCAUGGUGCGGAGCCGUGCUUCUAGCUCACUAAGCCUCGCCUCCAAUUUAUCAAAUAUACUACACUUCUUACAUGUACCGUUAUCGGUAAGGGAGGCAGAGGAAUAGCUAAACAUGUGACACACCGAGCAAGAAAGAGCAGGAGAGGCAGGGAGGGAAGACAUCACCAGGUUAGCUGCUAAGCUAAUGCUAACGCUAAUAGAAGUAACGUUGCCGCUAAACAACGUCCAAGCAACUAUUCGAUGGAGCGAAAAUUUGCUAGACGGUGAGGCGUUUAACAGCGCCUCACAUAGAUAAGAAUUCACCGUUGUGAUGAAAAAUAUCACGCUACAGUCAACUCAGUAUAGCUAGAGCUGUGAAAAGUUUGAUGACAUCAAACACGCUGGUAACAGGAAGUGACGCAACACGCUUACCGUAAGCACAGGGAACAGCACCGUUGUGAGAGUUCCUUUGCUUCAGAGCCCUUCAGAUGCUCACACACUAUUUGCCUCCUACUGCAUCGGGGAGGGCUAAAGGAUGGGCCAAAUGCAGUGUGAAAUCGGCCCUUUCGUACAUCUUGGACAUAAAACCGGUAAGAAAAUUCCAUCUCAAGUAUCAGCACAUGCUAAUCCAUCUUUUACAUUGGCUAAAGGGCUAUGUCUGACUUUUUCAAUAUAUGCAAUCACAUGUUUGAUAAUCCUGUUGUUAAUUAUUCUGGACUACAUGGUAAGGGGAUGUAUGCUACAGUAUUACAAGUUUAGCAUUGGGAUUUUGACAUAUAUUCUGAAUUUUGUGUAUUUGAUAUCAGCCCUUAAGAGCCCUAUUUGUUAUACAUGUUCUUUCCUAGACUGGAACAAGCAUACCAAGCCUUCUAGAGGGAUCUCCUGAGGAAGCAGUGGGAGUCCACCAGCCCAAGCUGGUGUGUUUAGGGCACCCCAGGACAGUUGCUCAGUACGUCGUCAUUGCAAAGAACGACAAUGUCGCCAUCCCCCUUCAAGACGAAGGUUUGACAUGUGCCAUUGACAAACUGUUCAAAGUUUUCUGGGUUUGCAACAUGGCAUAUCCUGCCCAACUCGAAUCAGUCUACAGUUUCUUUGAGUAUGUUUAUGACAUGCCCAUCUCAGGUGGGAAGAGAUCAAAAGUUGUGGAACUUAUUGCAAAGCUCCAGGCAGUAUUGUUGUAAGUUGUACCACCAUGUACAGUUGUCCCAAAUGCAAGAAAUCCAUUUCGAAACAAGUCAGGACACUUAUUAGACAUCUUAGGCAAGUUCAUGCAAUUUCAGAUGGACAGGAUUAUACAAUUGUAGUCAGAACCACUGUCAAAGAACUUACCAUAACUUUAAUUCUUAUGCCAGACAUAUAAACAGGGAACACACUCAGGUUGCAAACCCAGUAAAUUUGGAACAAAUGGUCAAUUUUGGUAAUGGGUCGGAAGAUGUUUCUAUGUCAUGCUCCAACGCAAUGAAAACUCCACAAACAGAUUCGGAAACUUCAAUGGAUUGUCAUGUUUCAGACCAUCGUGAGACUGCAGCUUCCUUUGUUGCCAAAAUGUACUGUGCAUCAAAUUCCACCCUAACCGAUGUGCAAAAAAGCAUUGCUUGCACUAAAGAGCUACUGGAAAAGACAUUGGACGAUUUAAAGGAUAAAACUGCAUCUGUAAUUGAUAGCUACUCUUUGUCAAAUCUUUAAUGCAGGAUUUUGAAAAUGCACGAAACAUGUUUUCCGAGGUGGAUACUCGGAAUAUAUGAAAAUAUAAUAAAUAAAUAUUUUUCUGAAAAACACUCUUGUGAAGCCCACAGAAAUUUUCUUAGGGUACAGAGGCGACACGGCAAGAAAGCAGGGGAAAUUGAAGUACUGGCUGCAGACACUUGCCAGUAUAUCCCCAUUAUUGACACCAUAAAGUUUCUCUUUAAAAGUGAAAAGAUGCAGAGACUCUCUCAGCAAUCUAAAAAAGGUGUUGAUGGUAAAAUGCAUGAUUAUUGUGAUGGCACACAGUUUACACAUCAUGCAUUAUACAAUAGAUAUCCUAAUGCCCUACAAAUCCAACUUUAUUUUGAUGACUUGGAAACGACUAAUCCUUUAGGUUCAAAAACCAAAGUUCACAAAAUGGGAGCAGUUUACUUUUGCUUGAGAAACUUGCCCGUGCAAUUCAACUCAUCCCUUGCAAACAUUCACCUUUGUCUACUCUUCAAUGCUAUGCUAUAGACAGAGAGUAUGUAGUAGAGGUAUAUGGCUUUGGCAAAAUACUAGAGCCUUUGUUGGAUGACAUUCAAUUUCUUGAAACAGAAGGGAUAGAGGUUGAGUUGUUUAAAUUGAUGUAUUUACUGCAUUUUGUCUAUACAAAUGUUAGUUUGCAGUGGUCAUUUGGGAAAAACAAAUAUGUGAACAUCUGUCAAAUGUUUUAAUAUGAAAUUAAUCAAAUAAAAUUGUGACCUAAAUGUCUUAGUUGUUUAUUGUGAGUGUUUUAGAGCAUAUUUACCAUGAAAAAAUUGCAUUUUAAGAAUGCUUUUUAGAAAAAGUAUAAAUCUUAUUUUUAACACAUCUUUUGUGUUAAAUUAACACAUCUUUUGGGUUAUUUUAACACAUUGUUAUGUUGAAAUAUAGAACACACAACGUGUGUUAAAUGUUCUGACACACUGGCUGUGUUAAAAGCAACACAGAAUGUGUUGUCCUUAACUAGACACACAGAUGUGUUAAAAAUUAACACAUGAUGUGUUAUUUUUAACACAUCUGUUUUGAGAGUGUAGCUACUCGCUGGAAUUCCGUUUUUUACAUGCUGGAGAGGCUCUUUGAGCAAAAGGAAGCUGCGACCACAGCCCUCUGCCUUUUAGGGAGGAACACAUUGUGCUUAGAUGAGGGAGAAUUAUCCCUCAUCAAGCAAACAGUUGAUGCACUAUGGCCAAUUCAAGAAGUGACACGAGAGGUUUCAUCUGAAAAGUAUGUUUCAGUCUCCAAAGUGAUUCCGCUUGUGUCACUUAUUCACAGGGCUGUAGCAGCCUGUGAACGUCAAGGCAGCUCCCUUGCCACACAACUGGCACAGCAAUGUCAGUGCAGAUUCAGGGGUAUUCAGAGAAUUUACUGUCUAGCUGCCAGUACAUUUCUGGAUGUUAGAUUCAAACAUGUUGGUUUUCGAGACAAAGACAAUGUGGAGGUAAUGAAAAAGCGUCUCCUUUCUGAAAUACAGGAAUUCUAUCAGACAGGACAGGCAGCUCCCAGUUUAGCCCCAAGCUCAACAGCUACUGUUAGCUCUACCUCAGGGCCUUCUUCCUCUGGGCCUUCUGCCUCAGAGCCAAACCAGAGUCCUGCCCCCUCAGGUUCAGCUGUAUUAAAAGGAGGCAUAUGGACUGAUUUUGACAUGCAGGUUUUGUCAGGACAACAUCGCCGGUCAGCUACCAGCAAUGUGCUCAUUGAAGUACGUCGGUACUCAGAAGAAAAAGUGAUUCCCAGAGACAGGGAUGCACUGGUUUGGUGGAAAGAACAUGACCAAACCUUCCCAGCCCUGAGCAAACUAGCAGUGAGAUACCUGGGAAUUACUGCCACUUCUGUACCAGCAGAGAGUCUUUUCAAAGGCAGGAGAGGUUUUUAGUGAUGGAAACACCUUUUUCAAACACUCCAGGACUCCUGGCUCUCAAAGGGGAUUUACAAGGACUGGCUGGUUAAGGAAAUCCACACAGUAAAUUUGCCAGUGUCAAAAAGGCAGUGUCAAACUAUUUUAAUUCUUCCGGAGUUCUUCCAACAAUGGACAGAGUAAAAUUGAACCAGAAAACUUCCAGUGUUGGUGAAAAUAAUCGGAGUUAACAGAGGUUUUACUCUGUCAGUGUUAUUGACUCUCUCAGGCCCUGAUUCAACACUGAUUAGAGCAAGAUACCUUCCAGAGUAUCACAAAAAAUACUCUGGAAAGCCCCGCCCACCAACUUUCCCGGUCAAACUGAGAAUGUGGAUUCUGGCAUCGCCAUCUUCCUCGCAUCGAAAUACUGUGGUAAGUCUUUCUACUAUAAACUAUUCCCGUUGUUUUUCUUCAUUCCAGUAGAAUCUGUAUAAGAAUAAAGGGACGUAUUCAUUCACCACACUAGUCAAUGUUGGGUACGUGUCUUCAAAUACCGAAUUUCAAAUGGCUAACGUGAUUAUCGGGUGGGUGGUUAGCUUAAAUGUAGCAGCCACAUGUCUGACCUCGCAACACCAAACUGAACAAAAACGACACGAGGUAACGUUAAUGUCAGCGAGGACGAGCUGUCGUGGUGUGUUAUGUGUCAUGCUUGCACAUUUAUUUCAGUAAAAUGACGACAAAAAUUCGUUGAAGCAGUCAUAUUUAUUAUUUCUAUUUGAGCCGGAGCAAAUCGCUUUAGCGUCACGUCACAAUUUGGUCGAGCAUAGCGGGACAUGUCGCGGACAUGCGGACGUGCUCAUAGGACCCGCUAGUUCACCGGCAGACUGCGGAAUGCACCGAGUCGACCCAGUUAACGUGAACGGAGCCGCGGCUCCGAGAGGCUCGGUUCCCGUUAGCUGCUGCUGUAGCCAUAGAUAUAUAAAGAGUAGACGCUGCAUUGGCUGCUGAGGCGCAAAAAAAAACAAAUAUUUUUUAUUAUAUUAUAUACCAGAAUAUUAUUACUGUUACGCCUACUAUGAAUAUUAAAAUACGCCGAAUCAUGUUUUCGGUGUCAUGCCUACAAAAUCCCGUGAACAUCCGCUUUUGUAUUCAGCGAGUGAUGCGCUGACACUUCGUUGCGCCAGCUGGCACUGAGUGGAGCGGGUGACCGGUCCAAGUUGGCGGCCCCGCGGCUCGUCAGCACCACUAGGCAGCAGCGGUCGAUGUAUAUUCUUUAUGUCUAUGGCUGUAGCUGCUGUAAGCUUAAUGUAUGCUUCCACGUUACGGCGGCGGCGUAACCCCGUCAUUGAGCAAGUUCUCCGUUGCUCUGCAGUUCCCCCCCAUGCCGCUAGGCGGGUGUGGCUGUGUGUUUCUGCGGGUGCCGAAUCCUUGGUGAGCCGAAUCUCAUAUUGAAGCGCAGGCUAUGGAGAAGACGUGAAUUUACAACACUGGUUCACCCACUGAGGGACCUGGACGAGCAAGUGCACUUUCGAUACUUUCGAAUGUCAGCAACUGCCGCAAAUUACGUUCUGAGCGGACCAAUCACAGCACUUGCGGUCCACGUCAACUCGACUCGCAGUUAGAUUUUUUCGGAGGUGCACGUCAGGCUACGGCGGAGGAGUCUACGUAGUUACUUAUUAUGUAUAUUUUCCUUUUUUCUUUCAGGUUGUUCUUUAAUGUACUGUGGUGCUCUGGUGAUACCAUCAUGUUGAUCAAAACAGUCCUGUCAUCCAGCACCAACCAAGAUCUUUGCCACUGUGAUAAGAUGUGAGCUUUACAUGUUUUAGGUUUACUUUUGAUGCCAAUAUUUCAUGUUUACUUGGAAUAAAUAUGUAUUACAGUAUGGAUACAAUUGUCUGUGUGUUUUUCCCCCUGCAUAGAUAUGCAACACUGGUAGGAGUUGGUUAAAAAUCAACACUCUUUGGAGUGAUUUCAUAAUCAACAUAGUGUAAAGUAGGUUUAACACUGGAAAGGUUAUUUCUUUUAUAACUAUUUAGUGUUACAUGUGAAUAACACUAUGGGUGUUACUUCUUACAUAGUGUAAAACUUGAUUGACACUUCUUAGAGUUAAUAUUAUUACACUACACUGCACCUAGUGUAAAAUUUUAACUCUAACCAGAGUAAAAUUGACUCUGGAAAUUUAACUCUGUGUUCAGUGUACAUUUAACACUCUGUAGAUAGGGACCAUAUGUUCACUGAGGUAGUGUUAAAAUUGACUCUUUAAGUGUUGUAUUAACACUGGCGAUUUUACUGUGU
Molecule: long non-coding RNA, 5850 nt
Organism: Gasterosteus aculeatus aculeatus (three-spined stickleback)
Lineage: Eukaryota; Metazoa; Chordata; Actinopteri; Perciformes; Gasterosteidae
Source: Ensembl